AAAAGAAAGAGAAGGAACUACAGGCUAAGGAGAAUGAAUUGCGAAGGAGGGAACAGGAACUGAGACGAAAAGAAGAGGCUGCUGCAAGAGCUGGCAUUGUUAUUGAGGUGAAAAAUUGGCCUCCAUUCUUCCCAAUUAUCCAUCAUGAUAUUGCUAAUGAAAUACCAGUUCAUUUGCAAAGGCUGCAAUAUGUUGCGCUUACUACCUUUUUGGGAAUUUGUGCUUGCCUUUUGUGGAACAUCAUUGCUACCACUACAGCAUGGAUUAAAGAAGGAGAUGUAAAGAUCUGGUUCCUUUCAAUUAUUUACUUCAUAUCGGGGGUUCCAGGAGCCUAUGUACUGUGGUAUCGUCCUCUUUAUCGUGCUUUCAGAAAUGAGGGUGCUAUGAAGUUCGCGUGGUUUUUCUUGUUUUACUUGCUUCACAUUGCAUUCUGCAUCUUUGCGGCUGUUGCUCCUCCAGUAGUUUUCCGCGGAAAAUCACUUACAGGCAUUCUACCUGCAGUAGAUCUCAUCGGCAAACAAGUUCUUGUUGGGAUUUUCUAUUUCAUCGGUUUCGGGCUAUUUUGUCUGGAGUCUG
Molecule: unclassified non-coding RNA, 576 nt
Filed under: Hevea brasiliensis (rubber tree)
Lineage: Eukaryota; Viridiplantae; Streptophyta; Magnoliopsida; Malpighiales; Euphorbiaceae
Source: RNAcentral